RNAcentral lists this ribosomal RNA (421 nucleotides) under Theileria sinensis. RNAcentral describes it as "SSU rRNA". It matches the Rfam family "Eukaryotic small subunit ribosomal RNA", at positions 440 to 901 of the family's 1831-position model. Lineage: Eukaryota; Apicomplexa; Aconoidasida; Piroplasmida; Theileriidae. The record is from RNAcentral.
AUUACCCAAUCCUGACACAGGGAGGUAGUGACAAGAAAUAACAAUACGGGGCUUAAUGUCUUGUAAUUGGAAUGAUGGGAAUUUAAACCUCUUCCAGAGUAUCAAUUGGAGGGCAAGUCUGGUGCCAGCAGCCGCGGUAAUUCCAGCUCCAAUAGCGUAUAUUAAAAUUGUUGCAGUUAAAAAGCUCGUAGUUGAAUUUCUGCUGCAUCGUCGCAUCUCUUGCUGAGUGCUUCGUUUCGGCUUAUUUCGGAUUGAUUUUUUCUUUCCGGAUGAUUACUUUGAGAAAAUUAGAGUGCUCAAAGCAGGCUUUUGCCUUGAAUAGUUUAGCAUGGAAUAAUAAAGUAGGACUUUGGUUUUAUUUUGUUGGUUUUAGGUACCAAAGUAAUGGUUAAUAGGAACAGUUGGGGGCAUUCGUAUUUAA